AUGCUUGCUUUGGCAGCAUAUACACUAAAAUUGGAACAAUACAGAGAAGAUUAGCAUGGCCUCUGUGCCUUAAAAAAUGAAACACAAAUUCAUGAAGUAGUCCACAUUUUU
Microtus ochrogaster (prairie vole) is the source of this 111-nucleotide small nuclear RNA. The record is from Ensembl. NCBI's taxonomy places the organism in Eukaryota, Metazoa, Chordata, Mammalia, Rodentia, Cricetidae.